AACGAACGCUGGCGGCAUGCCUAACACAUGCAAGUCGAACGAAGUCUUCGGACUUAGUGGCGCACGGGUGAGUAACGCGUGGGAACCUGCCCUUCGGUACGGAAUAACGUCGGGAAACUGACGCUAAUACCGUAUAUGUCUCUGGAUGAAAGAUUUAUCGCCAGAGGAGGGGCCCGCGUCUGAUUAGCUAGUUGGUGAGGUAAUGGCUCACCAAGGCGACGAUCAGUAGCUGGUCUGAGAGGAUGAUCAGCCACACUGGGACUGAGACACGACCCCAGACUCCUACGGGAGGCAGCAGUGGGGAAUAUUGGACAAUGGGGCAACCCUGAUCCAGCAAUGCCGCGUGAGUGAUGAAGGCCUCGGGUUGUAAGCUACUUUUGGCAUGGGACGAUGAUGACGGUACC
RNAcentral lists this ribosomal RNA (404 nucleotides) under uncultured bacterium. RNAcentral describes it as "bacterial SSU rRNA". It matches the Rfam family "Bacterial small subunit ribosomal RNA", at positions 29 to 479 of the family's 1533-position model. The record is from RNAcentral.